GGGCCUGUAGCUCGAAGGUCGAGCAGUCGGCUCAUAACCGAUCGGUGUGAGUUCGAUUCUCACCGGGCCCA
RNAcentral lists this transfer RNA (71 nucleotides) under Thermoplasmata archaeon. Its description in RNAcentral is "tRNA-Met". It matches the Rfam family "tRNA". From Rfam's summary of the family: Transfer RNA (tRNA) molecules are approximately 80 nucleotides in length. Their secondary structure includes four short double-helical elements and three loops (D, anti-codon, and T loops). The record is from RNAcentral. RNAcentral also lists the same sequence under 1 other name. Lineage: Archaea; Methanobacteriati; Thermoplasmatota; Thermoplasmata.